Long non-coding RNA from Cavia porcellus (domestic guinea pig), 1376 nucleotides. RefSeq lists it as uncharacterized. The transcript has 2 exons. Lineage: Eukaryota; Metazoa; Chordata; Mammalia; Rodentia; Caviidae. The record is from RefSeq and is a predicted model, not a curated record.
GGCGCCAGCACUUUCUGCAGUUCCUGGUACAUGGAGUUGGGGUCCAACUGGCCGCGGGGGUCCGCGAUGGCCGCCAUGCCCGCUCGCCCCUCCACUCCUAGGAAGACAGGCUCGGCUGAGAUCCCGCACAGCCACUAGACCGGAUGUGCACUCCGGCUCCCUGCGUGUCCAGAGCUCCAGAGCUUCUGCAGCUGCCGAGCCUAUGGCGCCCCAAGUUGUGCGUGGUGGAGCAUGAGACAGAGCUGCUAGCCACUAGGAAGACGAGCCUGAGGCUGAUCCGAGGUCAAUCAAGACCAAUCUGGCUUCAUGUACACAGUAACCCCAGCUACAGAGCGUCUGAGGCAGAGGAUGGCUAGUUUGAAACUAGCCUGGGCAACUCAGGGAGACCCUAUCGCAAAACUGAAAAAUAAAAAAAGUACCGGGGAUGCAGCUUAGUAUUAGGCACCUGCUGGGUUGGGGGGGUUCCAUCCUAGUGCUGGGGGUGGUACAGUUCCCAAGCAUGGUGACCCCACGGCCAGGCACAGCUGUAGCUGCCACAGCUGUGGGCAACCAGCGACUCUGAGGCCAGGGUCACAUUAGGCCACCACACCACAUGCACAGGGUAGCCCCUGUAUGAACACCAGCACCAACUGCAAGGCUGGGGACUUGCACUGAGGUGACGAGGCAUUUCCAGCAUCUCCAGGGCUUGCAGCUGUCCAAUCCUAACUCCAAGACUGUCAAGGCUUUGGCCUGGUCUUCCCAGGGGCCAAGGCACAGCCUGGAAAGGCUAAUUAUUGUUGCUGACCCCUGCACACCACCUCCCCACUUCCUGGUGACCUGGGACACUCUGUACCCGCCCUGCCACCUCAGCCUGGGGCCAGCAUGGGCUUGACCCCAGGAACCUGCGAGCCCUUAACUCUCCUCCCACGAUUGUGGGUAUCGGGAGGAUGACCAAUGCCAUGGUGGCCAUCCUGGCCCUGAAGUCCUCUACGUCCAGGGAAAGCUGCACCUCGAAGGCCACCUUAUGGAACCCAGGGCCAGGACUCCACCGCUCAAAACCAGCCAAGAUAAUGAGAUCCAAACCAGGGCUGGACUCGGUUUGCCAGCUUCAUAAGUGUUGGGCGCAGGCGCUCAACAUACCAUACCCCACCCGGGACUAAGGACCACGCCAGCUUCCGCAAUGCGCUACGUCCCUCCUUAAAUUAGCCAACCCGUGUGCACUUCGUGCUCACUCCAUACUCUGUGGCAACUCCUGAUUGGCCACAGCUGGAUAUAGUAGCCGGAGCCUACAUCCCAUUCCCGCCCUGCUUCCUUGUGGCAGCCUGUGAUUGGUCACGGCCGAAUAUAUAAACCAGAGCCCGCCUAAAUAAACUAGCAGUUAACUGUCGUCCACAAAA